UAUGUUAUCGGAAGUACGGAGCCUUCCGUGCUUCCAGUUCGUUUUCGAUGUUGCGACUUUCGAAUCGUCGAUCGGCUCCGUUAAACUUGAUCUAGAGUAUUUGAAGUACCUAGAAAAUAAAUUUUAUGAUUUUACGAUAUCAUUUGCCUAGUGAUCGAANAGUAUUUGGAGUACCUAGAAAAUAAAUUUUAUUAUUUUUCGAUAUCAUUUGCCUAGUGAUCGAAUGGGCUCAAAAUCAACAAAUUUCAAUGGCCGUAGUGAGCCGUUUGUAAGUUUAACGGUGUAGAAAUAUCCAAAUCACGUGAAAUUUUGAUAGAAAAUUUUUUAUACUAUAUAAAACAAGAUCAAUAUCUUUGAUUUAAAAUUUUAAUGUCGUAUUAUUACAUUUUGUAAGAUUUUUAUUUUCAGUCGUUGAUUUUGAGCCCCUUCGUUCACUAAGCAAAUGAUAUCGUAAAAUCAUAAAAUUUAUUUUCUAAGUACUUCAAAUACUCUAGAUCAAAUUUAACAGAGCAGAUCGACGAUUCGAAAGUCGCAACAUCGAAAACGAGCUGGAAGCACGGAAGGCUCCGUGCUUCCGAUAGCAUAGUAGCCUUACUCUAUACAUAAAUACUUUGAAUAUUGUAAAAAAAUA
This 631-nucleotide long non-coding RNA is filed under the name Ananas comosus (pineapple). RNAcentral's name for it is "long non-coding RNA (ACOM_LNC021446)". Lineage: Eukaryota; Viridiplantae; Streptophyta; Magnoliopsida; Poales; Bromeliaceae. The record is from RNAcentral.